UCUCUCCCUCUCUCUCUCUCUCUCUCUCUCUCUCUCUCUCUCUCCUCUGCGUAUUACUGUUGCCGACGACGCAGGAGUACUUUCCGGCCACCAUUUUUAGCCACGCGCUGGACCGUUGGAUUCAGAGGCCUCCGAACUAUCGACCCACGCGGGAAUCUAGAGCUCACUCGCCGAUUAAACGCCUCAACCACUCGAUUUAAGUUCGGCCACCCCGCGACUUCAAAGUUGCGAUUCGGCCACCUCGGGCAUCCGUUUGCCGAUCCGUCACCACCAUCGUGUUCCUCGUGUUGUGGGCUUCAAAACCCAAUAACUUGUUCCUACAUCUACCAUAGUUGGGUGGUGGGCCCACCACGAGCCACCGCGAUCCACCGUAGACCGACGGUCGAAACUUAGUGUUCGAGGUUCCGAAGUACGUUUUGAGUCUCAGAAAAUCAUCGUUUGACUUAUUGUGGAACCCGAUCAUUUUGGUAUAAUUUCUUUAACCUAUAUAUUGUGAUUUAAUUGUGAUUGAUUAGAGUAAUUGUUAUUAUGUGUAUUUAUGGUAUAUAAUUAUAUAUUAUUGAUAUAUGGAAUAUUUUCUGUAAUUUACUGGCUGUCUGGGAUUAUAUAUAUUUUUUAUACAGGUUUUGAUUUUGGAAUUGUCCACUUUAUAGCCGUUGUGCUGUCUAAUUUUCUAGAAAAUAUUAGAUAUUAAAUCAAGUAUAAAAAUACAUAUUUAAUUGAUUUUAUAUUAAUAUGGAAAUUAUUAUGAUUAAGUAAUUUUAAUUAUUAUUGUUAUUAUUUUGUUAAGUAAAUCAAGAAUACAGAUUCAUAUAUAUAUAUGAAAAGUAUGAUUUAUAGUAAACCUAUUAUCUAACCAUUAUUAUUGUAUAUUAAUAUUUGAAUAUUAAAAUAAUAUCAAAUAUUAGUUUCCUACAGUUAUUGAUAUUUGUAAGACCGGUGAAGUUUGGAGAAAGUAUAUUUAUUAUAUCACUGGAAUUGAUAUUAUGACUAACUAAUAAUAAUAUAAAUAUUUAUAUUUAUAUUAUUAUCAUUAUAUUGAUUAUUACAACUUUAUGUUACAAAUAUGAUUUCUUUUAUAAAAUGACUAUUUGAAUAUAUACAUCCAUAUACGUAUUGCUAUUGAAGUAUUUUGUUAUUAAUAUCGAAAUAAGUUUAAUUAUAGACGAUAAUUAUUAUUGUUGUUAGGAUUAUAAUUAUUAUUAUUAUUUAUAUAGUUUCUGGUAUGAUUAAUAUACACUAUCAAUAGUGUAUAUUUACGGAUUAGAUAGAAUUUAAUAAAUUAUGUGCCUUGAAUAGGAUUUGUAUGGAUUUGAUUGAUUGACUCUUGGUGAGCCGUUUUAAAAUAAGCUAAGGACCUAAGGUGUGGCUUUAGCUGUUGAGCAACUUGUGGAGCACGGACUCAGUAGCAAUGCAAUAAUGGUUUAGAGUUUUCAUAUGGCUGCCUUAAAUUUAAAGUAUUCAUACGUGUAAUAAUUUCUUCUAAUAAGUUUAUAUAAAAGUUUUAAAUUUUUCUGUAUUUCUUCGUAUCAUUUUAUUUAAUUCUUUUGGUCAAGUGCCUUACAUACUCGUAAACCCUAGAAUUACGAGUAUGUGGCAGACGUACCCUACCUUAGGGACGUUACAAAUGGUAUCAGAGCUUUGAGUUUGUAGAUGUCGUAUACUCGUUAUGUUAUUAGAUUUUGGGAUCUGAAAUGCUACUGAGUUCCGCCACAAGACAAGCCACACGUUAAUGGUUAGUAUAAUUUAUCCAUAUUUUAGUUAAUGUAUGUUAAUGAUGUUGUAUAAUUGUAUUAGAAACUCAUUGUGUGUUUGAGUUUCCAUGAUAUAAGUAUGAGUUUGGAUUAAAUGAAUAUUCUCAUGCACGGUAGAGAAAUUGAAGUUUGUUAUUUAUCUGAAUGCAUGCCUUUAUUAUUGAUGUGAUAAAUAAUUGAUGAUUUAUCGAUGUCGAUGUUUGGAUUGUUAAUUGAUAUUCUCAAGCUUUGAAAGUGAUCUAUCAGUUCAGUUAGUGUGUUAAGGGUUAAUAUGUCAGGUUAGUGUUUUGGAGAGCAGAGUUUUAGGUUGUUGCUGAGAGCACACACAAUAAGAGACUUUAGUGAAACAGUAGUAAUAUAUAGAAAAAAAAAAAAUACAUAAUACAUUAAGGAUUGGGGUUUUGGACACGUUCUACCUCGUCAAUCAACUUUUGUUGUUCAACUCUAAGGGUCUCCCCAGUAGUUUGCAGUGUCUGAAAUUUUUCCUUCAUAUCGACUGAGUAGUUAGCAAGAAGUGUAGUUAAAGUCCCAUUCUCCUUAGCCAACUUCUCCUUCUCUCGAGUCAAUGCCUUGUUGGCAUUUCUAAUGGUUAUCAUCUCUUGUUUUUGUGUUUCUAUAUACCUUUUCAAGUGGUCAACCUCUUGUUCUCUUGCAAGAACCCGUUGGCCUAGGUUUGAGACCGAUGCUGCCGCCUGAGUGGUAAGAACUAAGGAAUCUUUUACAGCUUGUAGGUCUGACCUAUGGGAUAAAAUUAUUUGGUCUUUAGGGGUGAGUAUGCUUUGACCUAUACUAAUGGCCACCUUUUUAUCGAGCAUAGCUGAAUCCUCCACCGUGACAAGGCCAGUAUCAGAAUAAAAUUUGGGAAGCCAAACUCUGGGAAAUUGAGUAUUUCGUUCUGGGAUGUGUACCGUAGGAUACACCAUUAGCUGUAGUAGGGGUGCAGAAAUUUGUGGUGAAGAUUCGAUAGUGGGAAGAUUUGGCUCAGGUAAAGCUAAAGUUAGGUCUAAGUUCAGCUGAGAUGAUGAGGAUGCCAUGGAUUGCUUAGCUUGAGUAAUGGACGGAAGUAAUAAUGAUUUGGUUUUCAAAAGCUUGAGAUUGAUUGUGUUUUAGUGUGUAUGUGAUGAAUUUUAUUUAUAGAAAAAUGUGUUGAACUGUUGGGUCAUUGGAUCCUUGAAUUUGUUUGUUUUCAAGAUAGAUAUCACAGAUUUUAUCUUGUUCAAUGUGUUACGCUAUCCUCUCUGAUGAUGAAAGUCAAACUUAUUAGAUGUUGUCGACAUGGAAAUCACUUCUAUUGAUUUUGCGAUCCUGAUUUGAACAUGGAAACAAUUUGUAAAUUGUUGAAUGAAUCGAGGUGAUAAAUGUUAUUUACUGAAUUACUCUGUAGUGUGAAUUACUUUCGGCGAUUAAAUUAUAGUAUAUUAGCUGUUUUAUCCCGAAAGUAAGAUAAUGUAUUACUUGUGUGAAGUGAUGACUGAGUAUUAUUGGUAUAGGUGUUGAAAUGAGACAUGUCCAACUUAUUAGACAUGUGAGAAUUAUUCGUUUUCGUAGAUGAAGUGGUGGAUUGGUCAGUCAAGACUUAUCCCAUGUUUUAUUCAAUGAAGGGAUACUAAGCUAAGUGUGUGAAUUUCCGAGUGGCCACGGUUAUUUGCAUUCUAGCAUAGUAUCAAUAUGCCCUUUAUUAUUUUAUACAUUUGGAAACAAUUUUGAUUUUUAAAUGUUUUCUUAGAGAAAGAAUGAGAGUCAGGCUUUUCUGAACUGGUACCUAAUGAAUGGCCUAUCUCACUAUUUCUCAUUCAGGGCAAGAAGUCGGUUUUGACAACGAAAGGGUUUCACAGAGACUUGGUUUUAAAGAAUAAUCUUCAUCGGCUAUAUAAUUGUUUUCUAGUUAUCCAAUUUUUUUUUAUGCCGAAAAACUUUCUAUUGAACAAACUUGUUGCUCAAUUUAGCAUCUAUUAUCAAGGUAUAACCAGUCAUUUGCAUCUGCUUAAAAAAAAAAAAAAAAAAUUGACUGUAAAACAUGAAGAUCAAGGAUGUUUUCAUGAUGAUGGUCAUUUUCUCUUCUUACGUUAUGUGGUUUGUGUUCAAAAGUAUGGAUGAUGAGGAUUCGUUUGUAUUUUCGUAUACAUUCAUUGUAAUUUAUACUAUUGUUAUAGCUUAUUUCCUUUCUAUCUAUAUUGUAGUCCUCAUGUGAGGUGUUUACACAUCCUCGCCUUUUUAUAUAUGAUAAGGAUUACAAGAAGUCAGGAAUAAGUUUUGUUUUCGGGGUGAAAGUAAGUGUUGUGUAUAAAAUCUUAUGCUGUGAAAUGUUGUUCUGUUUAUUUGUAAUGGUAGUUCUUGUCUCCGAUUAUCAAAUUUUAGUUUGAAAUUUCGAGGACGAAAUUAUUUUAACGGGGGAAGGAUUGUAAUAUCCAACAUUUUCAUAAUACAUUUAUUUAUUAUAAAUCAAAGUUUUAAUACAUAAAAUGUACAACUUUACAAAUUUAAGAAAUAGUAAUGGAAAAAUAGUGUUUAAAAUAUGAUUUUAUGUUUUUAAUGAGAUUAAAGAAAGAGAAACUUGAGUAGUCAAGUAUUGGACCCAAAUGUCAUAUAAUUUUAAUUGGGGAUUUUUAUAAAAUUAAGAAAGUUUGGCUAAAGGGCUUAUUUGAAAAGAAUUUUAGUAUUUUGGGUCCAAGUAUAAUUUUUAAAAAUAAAUAAAUAAAUAAAUAAAUAAAAUAAAAAUAAAAUAAAAGGCUUCAGCCUUUCAUUUUACCCGAGCUCCUCUCUCUCUCUCCUCAGAAACUCUCUCCCUCUCUCUCUCUCUCUCUCUCUCUCUCUCUCUCUCUCUCUCUCCUCUGCGUAUUACUGUUGCCGACGACGCAGGAGUACUUUCCGGCCACCAUUUUUAGCCACGCGCUGGACCGUUGGAUUCAGAGGCCUCCGAACUAUCGACCCACGCGGGAAUCUAGAGCUCACUCGCCGAUUAAACGCCUCAACCACUCGAUUUAAGUUCGGCCACCCCGCGACUUCAAAGUUGCGAUUCGGCCACCUCGGGCAUCCGUUUGCCGAUCCGUCACCACCAUCGUGUUCCUCGUGUUGUGGGCUUCAAAACCCAAUAACUUGUUCCUACAUCUACCAUAGUUGGGUGGUGGGCCCACCACGAGCCACCGCGAUCCACCGUAGACCGACGGUCGAAACUUAGUGUUCGAGGUUCCGAAGUACGUUUUGAGUCUCAGAAAAUCAUCGUUUGACUUAUUGUGGAACCCGAUCAUUUUGGAUUUGUAUGGAUUUGAUUGAUUGACUCUUGGUGAGCCGUUUUAAAAUAAGCUAAGGACCUAAGGUAAGUAAAUCUCACCUUUUGUGCUUAAGUGUAAGAUGCAUGACUACAUUGAUUGUGUACAUCUGAUGAGUUAAGUAUGGUAUGAUGAUGAUGCAUAUGAUAAGUAUGUGAAGAAUGGUUAUAUGAACACCAUAAGGGUGUUGUGUGAUAUGUAAUUGAUGAAUUCUGUGAUAUGUGAAAGAUGUCUUACUUGGUUAAGAAUGAUAUGAAUUAUGUGCAAGUAUGUGUUCUUAUGUUGAUGGAUAUGUGGAUUACUCUAUGUUCAUGAUUUGUUAUAUGUUAUGAUAUAUGAAGCGUUUAAGUUUUUAGGCUGGAAACCUUAGACCUGAGCCAUAGCUCUACGUUAAGGUAUAACAACGCCACCAACCCAAAGCUUCAUGUAUUAUGACUAAAGAUGUUUUGAGUUAUAUGAGAUGUGAUACAAUGCCUUGAUUGAAUACCAUCAACAUCAGUCAUGAACACGAACAUUGGCAUUUCAGCAUCAGCAUGUAUGCAUGGCAUGUACAUUUAUGUGAUACAUUAUUAUGUGAUAUAAGACCAUGCAUAUGGAUAUGAGAAAAGUUAUGAAAUGUCUUGAAAAGUCUUAUGUAAAGUUAAACAUUUUAAUGACACAAGGCUUAAGCAAAGUGAUAAUAAGAUGUUUAAAAAGGGUGCCACUGUUUUGAUGAAGCAAUCAAGUAAGUUCAGUAAAGAAGACGGAAGUCUAUAAGACUUAUAGUGGCUGCCCACUAGUGUGGGCUAGGUCAGAGUUGACCAUUCAGAUAUGUUUGCCAUGUUUCCGUCUUUCUCCUCCAUAUGUGUAAUAAGUAUGGCAGCUAUGGCAACGAUGAAAUGAGUGUUAUGAUGAGCCUAGCUGAGAUGAUGGCUAGCCGGAGGAGAACCCAUGGGAUUCUAUAUGAUAUGUGUAACAAGCCCUGCAGGCAUUGGCUGAAUCAAACAGUGUGCACAAGUGAUAUUGGGCCCAUAAAAAUGUGAAACUAACAGAAAGAGCAUAAAAGUAAAGUUUGAAAGUGCAUGAGCAAUAAAUGGAAUGCAUAAGUAUAUAAGUCAGCAUAUUAAUAUAUGUGCACUACAAACUCACGACAUUCAUGUGUAUGUGUAUGCAUGAGAUUUGCUUACUGAGCGUUAGCUCAUUAUGUUAUUUUCCAACAUUUUUCCAGGUGUGGCUUUAGCUGUUGAGCAACUUGUGGAGCACGGACUCAGUAGCAAUGCAAUAAUGGUUUAGAGUUUUCAUAUGGCUGCCUUAAAUUUAAAGUAUUCAUACGUGUAAUAAUUUCUUCUAAUAAGUUUAUAUAAAAGUUUUAAAUUUUUCUGUAUUUCUUCGUAUCAUUUUAUUUAAUUCUUUUGGUCAAGUGCCUUACAUACUCGUAAACCCUAGAAUUACGAGUAUGUGGCAGACGUACCCUACCUUAGGGACGUUAC
Humulus lupulus (European hop) is the source of this 6492-nucleotide long non-coding RNA. RefSeq lists it as uncharacterized. The record is from RefSeq and is a predicted model, not a curated record. NCBI's taxonomy places the organism in Eukaryota, Viridiplantae, Streptophyta, Magnoliopsida, Rosales, Cannabaceae. The transcript is spliced from 3 exons.